CACAAACAGGAAAUGAUGUUGAUGUUUAAUAUUAACACGAUUCAUGUGAUUCACAGUCAUAGUAAGUUAUAUAACUUCAUAGUAUAGUAAAUCAUUAAAACUGACAUAGUAUAGCAUGAUAUUAAAACCAAUCAAAACGUCAUAGUAUAGUAAGGCAUAAAAAGUAAAAAAAAAAUAGUAUAGUAAGGCAUAAAAAACAAAAAAAAAAUUAUAAUAUUGUAAGGCAUAAAAAGUAAAAAAAAUUAUAGUAUAGUAAAGCAUAAAAAACAAAGAAAUUAUAAUAUAGUAAGGCAUAAAAAGUAAAAAAAAUUAUAGUAUAGUAAGGCAUAAAAAACAAAAAAAAAAUCAUAGUAUAGUAAGGCAUAAAAAGUAAAAAAAAAAACAUCAUAAUAUAGUAAGGCAUAAAAAGUUAAAAAAAAAGUCAGAAUAGUAAGGCAUAAAAAACAAAAAAAAAAUCAUAGUAUAGUAAGGUAUAAAAAGUAAAAAUAAAAUCAUAGGCAUAAGGCAUAAAAAGCUAAAAAAAAAGGUCAUAAUAUGGCAAGGCAUAAAAAGUCAUAGCAUAUUAAGGUAUAAAAAGUGAAAAAAAAGUCAUUAUAGUAGGGCAUAAAAAGUCAUAAAAACGUCAUAGUAUAGUAAGACAUAAGUCAAAAAUAAGUUAUAGUAUAGUAAGGCAUAAAAAGUUAUAGUAUAGUAAGGCAUAAAAAGUGAAAAAAAAGUCAUAGUAUAGUAAGGUAAAAAAAGUUUAAAAAAACGUCACAGUAUAGUAAGGCAAAAAAAGUCAUAGUAUAGUAAGGCAAAAAAGGUCAUAGUAUAGUAAGGCAAAAAAAGUCAUAGUAUAGUAAGGCAAAAAAAAGUCAAGGUAUAAUAGGGCAUAAAUGGUCAUAGUAUAAUAAGGCAUAAAAAGUAAAAUAAAUAGUCAUAGUAUAGUAAGACAAAAAAAGUCAAAAAAAUAGUCAUAGUAUAGUAAGGCAAAAAAAAGUAUAGUAAGGCAAAAAAUAGUCAUAGUAUAGUAAGGCAAAAAAAAGUAAAAAAAAAAGUCAUAGUAUAGUAAGUCAAAAAAUAGUCAUAGUAUAGUAAGGCACAAAAAGUAAUAAAAAAAGUCAUAGUAUAGUAAGGCAAAAAAAAAAGUCAUAGUAUAGUAAGGCAAAAAAAGUCAAAAAAAUAGUCAUAGUAUAGUAAGUCAAAAAAAUAGUCAUAGUAUAGUAAGGCAAAAAAAAGUCAUAGUAUAGUAAGGCAAAAAAAAUUCAUACUAUAGUAAGGCAUAAAAAGUAUAAAAAAGUCAUAGUAUAGUAAGGCAUAAAAAGUGAAAAAAAAGUCAUAGUACAGUAAGGCAAAAAAAGUCAUAGUAUAGUAAGUCAAAAAAAUUGUCAUAGUAUAGUAAGGGAAAAAAGUUUAAAAAAAGUCACAGUAUAGUAAGGGAAAAAAAGUCAUAGUAUAGUAAGGCAUAAAAAGUCUAAAAAAUAGUCAUAGUAUAGUAAGGCAAAAAAAUCAAAAAAAGUCAUAGUAUAGUAAGGCAAAAAAAGUCAUAGUACAGUAAGGCAAAAAAAAGUCAUAGUAUAGUAAGGCUAAAAGUAAAAAAAAAAGUCAUAGUAUAGUAAGUCAAAAAAUAGUCAUAGUAUAGUAAGGCACAAAAAGUAAUAAAAAAAGUCAUAGUAUAGUAAGGCAAAAAAAAAGUCAUAGUAUAGUAAGGCAAAAAAAAAGUCAUAGUAUAGUAAGGCAAAAAAAGUAAAAAAAAUAGUCAUUGUAGUAAGGCAAAAAAAGUAAGUCAUAGUAUAGUAAGGCAUAAAAAGUCUAAAAAAUAGUCAUAGUAUAGUAAGGCAAAAAAGUCAUAGUAAAAAAAGUUUAAAAAAAGUCAUAGUAUAGUAAGGCAAAAAAAAGUCACAGUAUAGUAAGGCAAAAAAUAGUCAUACUAUAAUAAGGCAAAAAAGUCAAAAAAAGUCAUAGUAUAGUAAGGCAAAAAAAGUCAUAGUACAGUAAGGCAAAAAAAAGUCAUAGUAUAGUAAGGCUAAAAAAAGUUAAAAAAAAAGUCAUAGUAUAGUAAGGCUAAAAAAAGUCAUAGUAUAGUAAGGCAAAAAAAAAGUCAUAGUAUAGUAAGGCAAAAAAAGUCAUAGUAUAGUAAGGCAUGAAAAGUAAAAAAAAUAGUCAUAGUAGUAAGGCAAAAAAAGUAAAAAAAAAAAGUCACAGUAUAGUAAGGCAAAAAAGUCAUAGUAUAGUAAGGCAUAAAAAGUCCAAAAAAUAGUCAUAGUAUAGUAAGGCAAAAAAGUCAAAAAAAGUCAUAGUAUAGUAAGGCAAAAAAUAGUCAUAGUAUAGUAAGGCAAAAAAAAAGUCACAUUAUAGUAAGGCAAAAAAAGUCAUAGUAUAGUAAGGCAUAAAAAGUCUAAAAAAUAGUCAUAGUAUAGUAAGGCAAAAAAGUCAUAGUAAAAAGAGUUUAAAAAAAGUCAUAGUAUAGUAAGGCAAAAAAAAGUCACAGUAUAGUAAGGCAAAAAAUAGUCAUACUAUAAUAAGGCAAAAAAGUCAAAAAAAGUCAUAGUAUAGUAAGGCAAAAAAAGUCAUAGUACAGUAAGGCAAAAAAAAGUCAUAGUAUAGUAAGGCUAAAAAAAGUUAAAAAAAAAAGUCAUAGUAUAGUAAGGCAAAAAAAAGUCAUAGUAUAGUAAGUCAAAAAAUAGUCAUAGUAUAGUAAGGCACAAAAAGUAAUAAAAAAAGUCAUAGUAUAGUAAGGCAAAAAAAAAGUCAUAGUAUAGUAAGGCAAAAAAAGUCAUAGUAUAGUAAGGCAUGAAAAGUAAAAAAAAUAGUCAUAGUAGUAAGGCAAAAAAAGUUAAAAAAAAAAGUCACAGUAUAGUAAGGCAAAAAAGUCAUAGUAUAGUAAGGCAUAAAAAGUCCAAAAAAUAGUCAUAGUAUAGUAAGGCAAAAAAGUCAAAAAAAGUCAUAGUAUAGUAAGGCAAAAAAUAGUCAUAGUAUAGUAAGGCAAAAAAAAAGUCACAUUAUAGUAAGGCAAAAAAAGUCAUAGUAUAGUAAGGCAUAAAAAGUUAAAAAUAGUCAUAGUAUAGUAAGGCAAAAAAGUCACAAAAAGUCAUAGUAAAAAAAGUAAAAAAAUAGUCAUAGUAUAGUAAGGCAAAAAAAGUCAAAAAAAUAGUCAUAGUAUAGUAAGGAAAAAAAGUAAAAAAAAAAGUCAUAGUAUAGUAAGGCAAAAAAAAGUCAUAGUAUAGUAAGGCAAAAAAAUAGUCAUAGUAUAGUAAGGCAAAAAAAAGUCACAGUAUAGUAAGGCAAAAAAAGUUUUAAAAAAGUCAUAGUAUAGUAAGGCAAAAAAGGGCAUAGUAUAGUAGGGCAUAAAUAGUCAUAGUAUAAUAAGGCAUAAAAAGUAAAAAAAAGUCAUAGUAUAGUAAGGCAAAAAAAGUCAUAGUAUAGUAAGUCAAAAAAAUAGUCAUAGUAUAGUAAGGCAAAAAAAGUAAAAAAAAAAGUCACAGUAUAGUAAGGCAAAAAAAGUCAUAGUAUAGUAAGGCAAAAAAAAGUCAAGGUAUAGUAGGGCAUAAAUAGUCAUAGUAUAAUAAGGCAUAAAAAGUAAAAUAAAUAGUCAUAGUAUAGUAAGGCAAAAAAAGUAAAAAAAAAAGUCAUAGUAUAGUAAGGCAAAAAAAAGUCACAGUAUAGUAAGGCAAAAAAGUCAUAGUAUAGUAAGGCAAAAAAAGUCA
Molecule: long non-coding RNA, 3686 nt
Organism: Seriola aureovittata
Lineage: Eukaryota; Metazoa; Chordata; Actinopteri; Carangiformes; Carangidae
Exons: 2
Source: RefSeq, a predicted model, not a curated record